CGCGCACCGAGUCGCCCCCAUCCCCUCCGUGAAGACGGAGGCGGCGGGAGCGGAGAAUGGCCCCCCGUGCCCCGUGCGCGGCCGGCCCAAACACAGGCCCCGGGAGGCCGACGUCACGAUCCGUGGUGGUUGUAAAAGACACGCCCUAGAAACCGGAUCACGUGCACGCCGCGCCGCACCCUCUGCCACAGCGACCCCCCUAGGGCCCUCCCCGGACGGCACCCACUCU
Molecule: ribosomal RNA, 229 nt
Filed under: Corydalis darwasica
Lineage: Eukaryota; Viridiplantae; Streptophyta; Magnoliopsida; Ranunculales; Papaveraceae
Source: RNAcentral